RNAcentral lists this ribosomal RNA (253 nucleotides) under uncultured bacterium. Its description in RNAcentral is "partial 16S ribosomal RNA". It matches the Rfam family "Bacterial small subunit ribosomal RNA", at positions 524 to 776 of the family's 1533-position model. The record is from RNAcentral.
UACGUAGGGGGCUAGCGUUGUCCGGAUUUAUUGGGCGUAAAGAGCGUGUAGGCGGCCAAGUAGGUCCGGUGUGGAAACUCGAGGCUUAACCUCGAGAUGUCAUCGGAAACCAUUUGGCUAGAGUCCGGAAGAGGAAAGUGGAAUUCCUGGUGUAGCGGUGAAAUGCGCAGAUAUCAGGAAGAACACCAAUGGCGAAAGCGCUCUGCUAGGCCGCAACUGACACUGAGGGACGAAAGCUAGGGGAGCGAAUGGG